UUGAGAAAAAAUUAGAGAGAAGGACUUGACUUUUGGUAUUCGUUUGAGCAUCUAAGAUUGAUCUAUUAUUCAAAAUCUAUAACGAAGAUAAGAUGCAUCCUAAACUUUGAUUUAUGAAUUUCCUACAUAUAGAGCUUUGUUCUUGAAAUAAGAUUUUAUACUCUAAUCUUCUGUACGAGAUUUAUGAAAAAUUUUUAACAAUGAUAUUUUUUGUAGAAGAUUAGAAUCAAAAUUAAUGUUUUCGCGAGAGAUUAGAACCAAACAAAGAAUUGAUUUAAUUUGAUGUAAUCAAUUAAAAAAUUAAAAAAAAUUGAGGAAGAAAAGGGACGGAUAACUAUGGUUGUGUCCUCUUCUUCUUUUCUACUCGUCGGUUGGACCGAUCUCUGCGGGAUCAAGCUCCGACGGUGGUCAGGAACAGCUGGCGGUGAGGGGCAGGUGGUUCCGAUCUAGAUCCCAAGAUCCCAAAAAAAAGAAAAAAGACGAAAAUCAUGAGGGCCAGUGGUCCUUCCGUCAUCGUGUCCUCUUCCUCCUUCUCCUUUGCGGAGACUUCCCGGUCACCGUCCGAGCAAGUGGCGGCGACCUUGCUGGGCGUGACUGGCGGUGGAUCGAGGCCGGCAGCCGACAGGGAAGGCAGGAGAGGGGAUGGCGGUCGACCUUCCAUCGAUUGUCAAACCGAAUAGAGAUGGGAGCGCCAGUUCUUGCGCCCCCUUUGCCACCGCUCGAUGGGGUUUUCCGGCCUCCUUACCCACCGAUGGUGGGCGGCGGAAAGAGGUGAUGAUCGAAGCUGGUGGAUGGAGAGAGGCCGGCAGUCAUCCUUCCCGCUGGCCGUCGGACCGGCAUGGAGGGAAAAGGGGCACCAGUUUUGCCCCUUCUUCAUCGAACUAAUCGUAAGGAAAGAGAAGACACUUAAUGGGUUUCGGAUUUUGGGUUUCAACCCAAAAUCCGAACCCGAUUUGUUAAUUUUAAAUUUUAUGAUACUUUUGCAUUUUAGUACCUAACGAAUAUAAUAUUUGAUUUCAGUCCAA
RNAcentral lists this long non-coding RNA (1025 nucleotides) under Elaeis guineensis (African oil palm). RNAcentral describes it as "long non-coding RNA (EGUI_LNC023632)". Lineage: Eukaryota; Viridiplantae; Streptophyta; Magnoliopsida; Arecales; Arecaceae. The record is from RNAcentral.